This 516-nucleotide ribosomal RNA is filed under the name Staphylococcus aureus. Its description in RNAcentral is "partial 23S ribosomal RNA". It matches the Rfam family "Bacterial large subunit ribosomal RNA", at positions 2341 to 2858 of the family's 2925-position model. The record is from RNAcentral. Lineage: Bacteria; Bacillati; Bacillota; Bacilli; Caryophanales; Staphylococcaceae.
UUCAUAGAGUGUAAAGGCAUAAGGGAGCUUGACUGCGAGACCUACAAGUCGAGCAGGGUCGAAAGACGGACUUAGUGAUCCGGUGGUUCCGCAUGGAAGGGCCAUCGCUCAACGGAUAAAAGCUACCCCGGGGAUAACAGGCUUAUCUCCCCCAAGAGUUCACAUCGACGGGGAGGUUUGGCACCUCGAUGUCGGCUCAUCGCAUCCUGGGGCUGUAGUCGGUCCCAAGGGUUGGGCUGUUCGCCCAUUAAAGCGGUACGCGAGCUGGGUUCAGAACGUCGUGAGACAGUUCGGUCCCUAUCCGUCGUGGGCGUAGGAAAUUUGAGAGGAGCUGUCCUUAGUACGAGAGGACCGGGAUGGACAUACCUCUGGUGUACCAGUUGUCGUGCCAACGGCAUAGCUGGGUAGCUAUGUGUGGACGGGAUAAGUGCUGAAAGCAUCUAAGCAUGAAGCCCCCCUCAAGAUGAGAUUUCCCAACUUCGGUUAUAAGAUCCCUCAAAGAUGAUGAGGUUAAUA